This 1088-nucleotide long non-coding RNA is filed under the name Homo sapiens (human). RNAcentral's name for it is "non-protein coding lnc-AMPD3-53:1". Lineage: Eukaryota; Metazoa; Chordata; Mammalia; Primates; Hominidae. The record is from RNAcentral.
GAGCCCAGAUGGUCAUCUGAGACGAGAGGUGGCGGCGAAGGAGAGUCUCGCCUGUCACGCUCCCGGAGCAGGGGCUUCAUGAGGUGGCCAUGGAAACAGCCUGGCAGACUCCCAUCUCUCCUGGUGCCAUCUCCGGAGCGGAAAGUGGAGCGCCCCGCUGGCGACCAAGGCCGCACUGAGAGCCCUGGUUUGGUCAACAGUUGGGCUCCAAGGUACCACUUCCCAGACCUCCAGCCUCCCCACUGAUGAUAGAUACACAAAGGUCAUCUUGUUUCUUUAUGAGGCAAUGGAUUGUGUUCACCUAGCCGAGUUGUUAAGCAUAAGAGAAUGUAUGAAAAGUAAUUACAAGGUUCAAAAUCCUGAGCUUUGAUAAAUGAUAGAUAUGAUGAUGAGCACAUGUUAGUGAUAUUACUGCUCUGCGGGACGUCUGAAUCAGUAAUUGCUGUCUUUUAAGCAUCUGUUGUGUGCCAAAUACUGCACUAGGCACUUUACGGGCAUUGCUCUUGUUUAAGUCGUCUGGUCAAAGUUGCCUAGACAAUAAACAGCAGAGCAAGGAUUUUAACCCAGGUACAGCUGACACUGCUGCCUCUAUGCUUAGCAGUUAAACUGGUUUUUAUGUUUCUUGUUUGUACACCCCUCCUUCACCAGUCACUUGUAGAUUCACCUUGUGAAGAGCUAAUUCUUCCCUCUAAUAAUAAUACUCUUUGACCAUUUACUAUAUGUCAAACCGUAUUUUAAGGACUUUAAAGGUAUUAAUUCGUUUAAUCUUCACAGCAAUCCUGUGAGUAGGUAUUAUUAAUACCUUCACUAAGACACAGGCUUAGAAAAGUCGAUUAACUUUUCCAAGGUCAAACAACCAUUAAGGAGCAGAGCCAGAUUCAAACCCAAGCAGACAGAACCCUGAACCUGUGUUUUUAAUUCCUGUUUUAAACUGCCUCGGUAGUACGGUAAGACUUCAUUAGCGCUAGGUCCAUGCCUGUUUGUGCACCAUUAUUUCCCUGACAGCCAGCAUGGUACUUGUUCAAUAUUUGAACAUUUGAUGAAUAUUUGAACACUGGAAAAGGAAAAAGCUUAAAAAUGAAGUAUAA